This 834-nucleotide ribosomal RNA is filed under the name uncultured bacterium. RNAcentral's name for it is "bacterial SSU rRNA". It matches the Rfam family "Bacterial small subunit ribosomal RNA", at positions 86 to 966 of the family's 1533-position model. The record is from RNAcentral.
UUUUUAGACAUAGCGAACGGGUGAGUAACGCGUGAAUUAUCUACCUUUUAAUUCAGGAUAAUUAUUUUAUAUAAAAAUACUGAAUAAUUUAAAUAAAGUUUUAAUAACGUUAAAAGAUGAGUUUGCGUAAGAUUAGGUAGUUGGUAGUUUAAAAGACUACCAAGCCGACUAUCUUUAGCUGGUUUGAAAGAAUGAUCAGCCACAUUGGGACUGAGACACGGCCCAAACUUUUUUAAAGGCAGCAGUGGGGAAUUUUGGACAAUGAGCGAAAGCUUGAUCCAGCAAUACCAAGUGAGUGAAGAAGGCUAAUUAGGUUGUAAAGCUCUUUCAUUAAGGAGGAAAAUGACAGUACUUAAAAAAGAAGUUCCGGCUAAUACCCGUGCCAGCAGCCGCGGUAAUACGGGAGGAGCGAGCAUUAUUCGGAAUGAUUAGGCGUAAAGGGUUUGUAGGUGGUUUUUUAAGUUGAAAAAAACAAAUUAAAGCUCAACUUUAUAAAUUUUUUCAAAACUGAAAAACUUGAGUAUAAAUAGAGGAUAAUGGAAUUUCUAUUGGAGGGAUAAAAUAUGUUGAUAAUAGAAGGAAGAUCAAAAGCGAAGGCAAUUAUCUGGGUAUAUACUGACACUGAGAAACGAAAGCUUGGGUAGCGAACGGGAUUAGAGACCCCGGUAGUCCAUGCUGUAAACGAUGAGUGCUCAUAUUUAGAAUUUUUAGAUAUCAAGCUAACGCGUUAAGCACUCCGCCUGAAAAGUAUAAUCGCAAGAUUGAAAUUCAAAGGAAUUGACGGGAGUCUACACAAGCGGUGGAGCAUGUGGUUUAAUUCGAUAAUACGCGCAG